This 950-nucleotide ribosomal RNA is filed under the name uncultured bacterium. Its description in RNAcentral is "bacterial SSU rRNA". It matches the Rfam family "Bacterial small subunit ribosomal RNA", at positions 536 to 1501 of the family's 1533-position model. The record is from RNAcentral.
AGGGGAGUGUCGGAUAUUGGGCGUAAGGGCAUGCAGGCGGUCUGCUAAGUUCGGGGUGACAGUCAUCAGCUUAACUGGUGAAGGACUUCGAAAACUGGUGGACUUGAGAGCGAGAGAGGGACAUGGAACUCCGGGUGGAGCAGUGAAAUGCGUAGAUAUCCGGAAGAACACCAAAGGCGAAGGCAGUGUCCUGGCUCGUUUCUGACGCUGAGGUGCGAAAGCUAGGGGAGCGAACGGGAUUAGAUACCCCGGUAGUCCUAGCCGUAAACGAUGACCACCAGGCGUGGGAGGGAUCGACCCCUUCCGUGCCGAAGCUAACGCAGUAAGUGGUCCGCCUGGGGAGUACGGUCGCAAGACUAAAACUCAAAGGAAUUGACGGGGACCCGCACAAGCAGCGGAGCGUGUGGUUUAAUUCGAUGCGAGGCGAAGAACCUUACCAGGACUUGACAUGUAUGCGCACCAGCCAGAGAUGGUUGUGCCCGCGAGGGACGCAUACACAGGUGCUGCAUGGCUGUCGUCAGCUCGUGCCGUGAGGUGUUGGGUUAAGUCUCGCAACGAGCGCAACCCCUAUCGUUAGUUGAACUUUUCUAACGAGACUGCCACUUCUAGGUGGAGGAAGGUGGGGAUGACGUCAAGUCAGCACGGCCCUUACGUCCUGGGCGACACACACGCUACAAUGGUCGGGACAGAGGGGAGCCAACCCGCGAGGGGGAGCUAAUCUCAUAAACCCGAUCUCAGUUCGGAUUGCAGGCUGCAACCCGCCUGCAUGAAGCUGGAGUUGCUAGUAACCGUGGGUCAGCACACCACGGUGAAUACGUUCCCGGGUCUUGUACACACCGCCCGUCACACCACGAAAGUCGGCAACACCUGAAGCCGCUGGGCUAACCCUGUGGGGAGGCAGGCGUCGAGGGUGGGGUCGGUGAUUGGGGUGAAGUCGUAACAAGGUAACC